This is an RNA transcript of Hermetia illucens (black soldier fly), 797 nucleotides long. RefSeq lists it as uncharacterized. The transcript is spliced from 3 exons. NCBI's taxonomy places the organism in Eukaryota, Metazoa, Arthropoda, Insecta, Diptera, Stratiomyidae. The record is from RefSeq and is a predicted model, not a curated record.
AAUUCCAAAGCCAACGUUUUCAUUCUCUGUUAGUCAAAAGAAAUAUUGACAGAUCAUUGCGAUCCAGCGUAAUCAAUAAAUCAAAUUUAAUAUUUUCGGAAAUGAUAACGUAAAACAUUAGAUCUAAAUCAAAGUUCGUGUCAUACCUUUUCUAAUUAUGCCAAAAUGUGAAAAAAAAUCUGCCCGAUCCGUGAUUCAUAAAAUUUUGUAUGUAUUGUGUACGCUACUCUGCAUUUUGAUCAAGGUCCUUAUCGUUUUCUACCGUCUUUUAUUGAAAUUCGUGCAACUCGUCAUCGGCCUGUUAAAGUUUCUGUUCAAUUUGUUGCCUUGUUGUGUAAAAUCCUCUGAUGUUGAAAGCGAAAUACAAGAAUGUGCAUUCCAAAGUAAAUCAGGCCUCAAGGAGAAUUCUGAGAUGUUUACUCGAAAAUUCAAAAUAGUAAAACUUAACAAAGAAGAUCCGAUUAUAUACGUUGAGCCACUUCCUUCGGUAUGCAUUCCAAAUAAAAGGAAGCCAAGUGCAAAACGAAAACCAGCAAAGGAGCGCCACCACAUAUAAACAGUUAAAAGUUAAUGCAUUCGAAACUAAGCAAAGUGGAAAGAAGCUGAUGGGGUCAUCCCGUGUGAAGGCCGGUUUUUUUUUCGCUUUUUUAGACAUUUUUUGUGAAGAACUGGAUAAAGAUGCAAAUACGAAUUUUCCAACAUAGGUCUAUUAGCAUUUUGAGCGUUCAUAGUAAUUUCUCCAGCCCCAUCAUAUAGUUCAUUAUCGAAAUACAGAACAAUUCAUACACCCAUCUCCA